This 801-nucleotide ribosomal RNA is filed under the name uncultured bacterium. RNAcentral describes it as "bacterial SSU rRNA". It matches the Rfam family "Bacterial small subunit ribosomal RNA", at positions 68 to 891 of the family's 1533-position model. The record is from RNAcentral.
GGACAUGUCUUUCGGGAUAUGUUAGUGGCAGACGGGUGCGUAACACGUAGGUGACCUGCCCUGGAGUGGGGAAUAACUAUCCUAACGGAUAGCUAAUACCGCAUAUGCUCGGUGAUUCAUUUUGCCGAGUAAAGUCGAAAGGCGCUUCAGGAUGGGCCUGCGGCGGAUUAGGUAGUUGGUGGGGUAAUGGCCUACCAAGCCGAUGAUCCGUAGGGGGCGUGAGAGCGUGGCCCCCCACACUGGCACUGAGAUACGGGCCAGACUCCUACGGGAGGCAGCAGUGAGGAAUAUUGCGCAAUGGGCGAAAGCCUGACGCAGCAACGCCGCGUGAGGGACGAAGGCCUUCGGGUCGUAAACCUCUUUUCUGGGGAAAGAGCAAGGACGGUACCUCAGGAAUAAGUCUCGGCUAACUACGUGCCAGCAGCCGCGGUAAAACGUAGGAGGCGAGCGUUAUCCGGAUUUACUGGGCGUAAAGCGCACGCAGGCGGCUUCGUUAGUCGGGUGUGAAAGCUCCUAGCUUAACUGGGAGAGGCCACUCGAUACUGCGAGGCUUGAGGUUGGGAGAGGGGUGUGGAAUUCCCGGUGUAGUGGUGGAAUGCGUAGAUAUCGGGAGGAACACCUGUGGCGAAAGCGGCACCCUGGCCCACACCUGACGCUGAGGUGCGAAAGCGUGGGGAGUAAACAGGAUUAGAUACCCUGGUAAUCCACGCUGUAAACGAUGUCAACUGGGUGUCGGUAGCUUUACGCUAUCGGUGCCGAAGCAAACGCGUUAAGUUGACCGCCUGGGGACUACGGCCGCAA